This 2810-nucleotide ribosomal RNA is filed under the name Klebsiella pneumoniae subsp. pneumoniae. RNAcentral describes it as "bacterial LSU rRNA". It matches the Rfam family "Bacterial large subunit ribosomal RNA". Lineage: Bacteria; Pseudomonadati; Pseudomonadota; Gammaproteobacteria; Enterobacterales; Enterobacteriaceae. The record is from RNAcentral.
CCGGCGAUGUCCGAAUGGGGAAACCCAGUGCAAUUCGUUGCACUAUCGUUAACUGAAUACAUAGGUUAACGAGGCGAACCGGGGGAACUGAAACAUCUAAGUACCCCGAGGAAAAGAAAUCAACCGAGAUUCCCCCAGUAGCGGCGAGCGAACGGGGAGCAGCCCAGAGUCUGAAUCAGCUUGUGUGUUAGUGGAACGGUCUGGAAAGUCCGACGGUACAGGGUGAUAGUCCCGUACACCAAAAUGCACAGGUUGUGAACUCGAAGAGUAGGGCGGGACACGUGGUAUCCUGUCUGAAUAUGGGGGGACCAUCCUCCAAGGCUAAAUACUCCUGACUGACCGAUAGUGAACCAGUACCGUGAGGGAAAGGCGAAAAGAACCCCGGCGAGGGGAGUGAAAAAGAACCUGAAACCGUGUACGUACAAGCAGUGGGAGCACCUUCGGGUGUGACUGCGUACCUUUUGUAUAAUGGGUCAGCGACUUAUAUUCUGUAGCAAGGUUAACCGUAUAGGGGAGCCGCAGGGAAACCGAGUCUUAACUGGGCGUUAAGUUGCAGGGUAUAGACCCGAAACCCGGUGAUCUAGCCAUGGGCAGGUUGAAGGUUGGGUAACACUAACUGGAGGACCGAACCGACUAAUGUUGAAAAAUUAGCGGAUGACUUGUGGCUGGGGGUGAAAGGCCAAUCAAACCGGGAGAUAGCUGGUUCUCCCCGAAAGCUAUUUAGGUAGCGCCUCGUGAAUUCAUCUUCGGGGGUAGAGCACUGUUUCGGCUAGGGGGUCAUCCCGACUUACCAACCCGAUGCAAACUACGAAUACCGAAGAAUGUUAUCACGGGAGACACACGGCGGGUGCUAACGUCCGUCGUGAAGAGGGAAACAACCCAGACCGCCAGCUAAGGUCCCAAAGUCAUGGUUAAGUGGGAAACGAUGUGGGAAGGCACAGACAGCCAGGAUGUUGGCUUAGAAGCAGCCAUCAUUUAAAGAAAGCGUAAUAGCUCACUGGUCGAGUCGGCCUGCGCGGAAGAUGUAACGGGGCUAAACCAUGCACCGAAGCUGCGGCAGCGACACUAUGUGUUGUUGGGUAGGGGAGCGUUCUGUAAGCCUGCGAAGGUGACCUGUGAGGGUUGCUGGAGGUAUCAGAAGUGCGAAUGCUGACAUAAGUAACGAUAAAGCGGGUGAAAAGCCCGCUCGCCGGAAGACCAAGGGUUCCUGUCCAACGUUAAUCGGGGCAGGGUGAGUCGACCCCUAAGGCGAGGCCGAAAGGCGUAGUCGAUGGGAAACAGGUUAAUAUUCCUGUACUUGGUGUUACUGCGAAGGGGGGACGGAGAAGGCUAUGUUAGCCGGGCGACGGUUGUCCCGGUUUAAGCAUGUAGGCUGGUUGUCCAGGCAAAUCCGGAUAAUCAAGGCUGAGGUGUGAUGACGAGGCACUACGGUGCUGAAGUAACAAAUGCCCUGCUUCCAGGAAAAGCCUCUAAGCAUCAGGUAACAUCAAAUCGUACCCCAAACCGACACAGGUGGUCAGGUAGAGAAUACCAAGGCGCUUGAGAGAACUCGGGUGAAGGAACUAGGCAAAAUGGUGCCGUAACUUCGGGAGAAGGCACGCUGGUGUGUAGGUGAAGUCCCUGCGGAUGGAGCUGAGACCAGUCGAAGAUACCAGCUGGCUGCAACUGUUUAUUAAAAACACAGCACUGUGCAAACACGAAAGUGGACGUAUACGGUGUGACGCCUGCCCGGUGCCGGAAGGUUAAUUGAUGGGGUUAUCCGUAAGGAGAAGCUCUUGAUCGAAGCCCCGGUAAACGGCGGCCGUAACUAUAACGGUCCUAAGGUAGCGAAAUUCCUUGUCGGGUAAGUUCCGACCUGCACGAAUGGCGUAAUGAUGGCCAGGCUGUCUCCACCCGAGACUCAGUGAAAUUGAACUCGCUGUGAAGAUGCAGUGUACCCGCGGCAAGACGGAAAGACCCCGUGAACCUUUACUAUAGCUUGACACUGAACAUUGAGCCUUGAUGUGUAGGAUAGGUGGGAGGCUUUGAAGCGUGGACGCCAGUCUGCGUGGAGCCAACCUUGAAAUACCACCCUUUAAUGUUUGAUGUUCUAACGUUGGCCCCUUACCGGGGUUGCGGACAGUGUCUGGUGGGUAGUUUGACUGGGGCGGUCUCCUCCCAAAGCGUAACGGAGGAGCACGAAGGUUAGCUAAUCCUGGUCGGACAUCAGGAGGUUAGUGCAAUGGCAUAAGCUAGCUUGACUGCGAGCGUGACGGCGCGAGCAGGUGCGAAAGCAGGUCAUAGUGAUCCGGUGGUUCUGAAUGGAAGGGCCAUCGCUCAACGGAUAAAAGGUACUCCGGGGAUAACAGGCUGAUACCGCCCAAGAGUUCAUAUCGACGGCGGUGUUUGGCACCUCGAUGUCGGCUCAUCACAUCCUGGGGCUGAAGUAGGUCCCAAGGGUAUGGCUGUUCGCCAUUUAAAGUGGUACGCGAGCUGGGUUUAGAACGUCGUGAGACAGUUCGGUCCCUAUCUGCCGUGGGCGCUGGAGAAUUGAGGGGGGCUGCUCCUAGUACGAGAGGACCGGAGUGGACGCAUCACUGGUGUUCGGGUUGUCAUGCCAAUGGCACUGCCCGGUAGCUAAAUGCGGAAGAGAUAAGUGCUGAAAGCAUCUAAGCACGAAACUUGCCCCGAGAUGAGUUCUCCCUGAGACUUUAAGUCUCCUGAAGGAACGUUGAAGACGACGACGUUGAUAGGCCGGGUGUGUAAGCGCAGCGAUGCGUUGAGCUAACCGGUACUAAUGAACCGUGAGGCUUAACCUUACAACGCCGAAG